This 399-nucleotide ribosomal RNA is filed under the name Triticum aestivum (bread wheat). Its description in RNAcentral is "partial small subunit ribosomal RNA". The record is from RNAcentral. Lineage: Eukaryota; Viridiplantae; Streptophyta; Magnoliopsida; Poales; Poaceae.
AUGGAUUGUAAUCCUAAGAUUGUGUUUUGGAACAUCCGCGGUCUGACCAAACGUAAUGUUGUUCGCUCCGUUGUCACUUCGGUCUCCCCCACCAUCGUGUGUCUCCAAGAGACCAAGCUCGAUACGGUCUCCCUGCCACUCGUCCUCGAGACCCUUGGCCCUUGCUUCGCUGAUUUCUUCUCCCUACCGGCUAUUGGCACCCGUGGCGGCAACAUUCUAGCUUGGAACCGCAACGAGCUCUCCAUUUCCAGCCCGUACAUUGGGCAACACCAUGCCACCGCCCUUGUUUCUACCACCACCGGAGCACACCCUUGGUGGAUCUCCGGCGUUUAUGGGCCGCAGGAGGAUGAUGACAAGAUUGCAUUCCUCCAAGAUUUACAGGAGACCCGUGAGACUUGA